RNA transcript from Mus musculus (house mouse), 3151 nucleotides. It is a transcript of the gene named sodium channel and clathrin linker 1, with no coding region annotated. The transcript has 22 exons. The record is from RefSeq and is marked validated. NCBI's taxonomy places the organism in Eukaryota, Metazoa, Chordata, Mammalia, Rodentia, Muridae.
CGGACGCGGCGUCACCGUCUCCAAGGAACGGUCUGGGGCACCGCUUUCAAAGUCGCAGGGCGGGCCGAGUGGACUCCGCGGCCGCUCCUGCUUUCCCGCGGCCCUGGCGUCGCCCCUCAGCCGGCGGGGACGCUGCCGCCCAGCCAGGCGCGUCGCAGGGUCAUCCUCCCGCGCGGUCUGACGGGAACUCGGCGCCCUCCGGCCGCGCGCGGCUCCGCGGCCCUUCUCGUCCGGCCGGGUCCGGCCGAGCGCGGAACGGAGUCUGAGGCGCGUCGCCUGGGUUCCGCGGAGCGGCGGGCCGGGCUGCGCCGCCGCGUGAGUGGGAUGCUGAUGUCUCCGCGCCAGGGCUCGGCUGCCCCUGCGACCCCUUAGCUUUUUGUUUGCCCUCACAGCGGGAGGCUGCUUUUUUGUUGUUGUUCGAUUGCUUGCUUGUUUGAGAAAUACCUUCUUUCCCCCCUGCGAGGAAUCGAUAAACGUGAUGAAAACUCCAAACUAAAAUAUCGAAAUGGCCACAGAAAUCGACUUACUGAGAGACCAAAAAGAUAAACUAAAUGAUAUUCUUAGGCAGCAUCAAAUCGAACAUAUUUUCAGAGACCCAACUAUGCAGAACAGCAUGUCCAAAGGAGGCAGAGGUGACACACUAGUAGACUCAAUAAAUGAGCAAAGUUCUUUACCUCCUCUCAUUGCUGAGUAUGAGAAACAUCUGGAAGAGCUAAACAGGCAGCUGACCUAUUACCAGAAGCACAUGGGUGAGAUGAAACUACAACUUGAAACUGUCAUCACAGAAAAUGAAAGGUUGCACAGUAAAUUAAAAGAUGCUGUUGAAAAGCAAUUGGAAGCCCUUCCCUUUGGCACAGGGAUAGGAAAUGACAUCUGUGCAGAUGAUGAGACCGUGAGGAUCCUUCAAGAACAAUUGCAACUAGCCAAUCAAGAGAAAACUUGGGCUCUGGAACUCUGGCAGACUGCUUCUCAGGAGUUGCAAAGUGUACAGAAACUCUAUCAGGAGCAUAUGACUGAAGCCCAGAUUCAUGAAUUUGAAAACCGAAAGCAAAAAGAUCAGCUGAACAAUUUUCAACAACUAACCAAGAAACUCCAUGUUGCUAAUGAGAACAUAGAAAUGACUAACCACCACUUCCUGAAAACAGUAACUGAACAAAACAUGGAGAUUGAGAAACUUCGAAAACAUCUUAGGCAAGCCAGAUUAGAUCUGAGAGUUGCAGUAUCGAAAGUGGAAGAGUUAACUAAAGUGACUGAAGGUCUUCAAGAGCAGAUGCUGAAGAAGGAGGAAGAUAUUAUGUCUGCACAAGGAAAAGAAGAAGCGUCGGAUAGACGAGUACAGCAGUUACAAUCUAGUAUAAAACAGUUAGAGUCAAGAUUGUGUGUAGCAAUUGAAGAAGCCGAUGUACUAAAAACAGGGAAAUCAAAUUUGGAAAAGCAAAUCAAAGAACUACAAGCAAAAUGUAGUGAAUCAGAAAAUGAGAAAUAUGAGGCUAUUUCAAGAGCCAGAGAUAGCAUGCAGCUCUUAGAAGAAGCUAACAUUAAACAAAAUCAGAUUCUCCUUGAAGAGAAACAAAAAGAGGUUGACAGAGAAAAAAUGAAGAAAACAAUGUCUCAGCUUAUACAAGAUGCAGCUAUCAAAGCAAGGAAAGAGGUUGAAAGCACAAAAAAACAAUAUGAAAUUCUGAUUUCACAAUUAAAGGAAGAACUCUCAACCCUUCAAAUGGACUGUGAUGAAAAGCAAGGUCAAAUUGAUCGAGCCAUUAGAGGGAAAAGAGCCGUGGAAGAAGAACUGGAGAAGAGUCUCCAUGAUACUCUGACUCAUCAACUCAGGUAGAUAGUUGGCCAACAGCCCCAGAAAUACAUGAGUCUCUGUCACUCCAGAACUGGGAUUACAGGAACAUGCCUCCACACCCACCUUUUAUAUUUACCGUGAAGGCAAACAGGAUGAAAGUGAUUACAGAAAAUUGGAAGAAAUGCAUCAAAGAUGUCUUGCUGCAGAACGUUCAAAAGAUGAUCUUCAGCUAAGACUCAAGAGUGCAGAAAAUAGAAUAAAACAACUUGAAAUUAAUUCCUCAGAAGAGAUGUCACGUUCCCAUGAAAUGAUCCAGAAACUUCAAACUGUAUUGGAGUCAGAGAGGGAGAACUGUGGCUUUGUCAGCGAGCAGAGGCUGAAGCUUCAGCAGGAAAACGAGCAACUACAGAAGGAGACCGAGGAUCUCAGAAAAGUUGCUCUGGAGGCCCAAAAAAAAGCAAAAUUAAAGGUCAGUACAAUGGAGCAUCAGUUCUCAAUUAAGGAGCAUGGGUUUGAAGUUCAGCUGAGAGAAAUGGAGGACAGUAAUCGGAAUUCCAUUGUUGAACUGAGGCAUCUUUUGGCAGCUCAACAAAAGACAGCCAAUAGGUGGAAAGAAGAAACCAAGAAACUUACUGAAAGUGCAGAAAUGAGGAUCAGCAGUCUAAAGAGUGAGCUGAGCCGACAGAAGCUUCAUACCCAGGAGCUACUUUCUCAACUGGAAAUGGCAAAUGAAAAGGUGGCUGAGAAUGAAAAGUUAAUUCUGGAACAUCAAGAAAAAGCAAACAGACUUCAAAGGCGUCUAAGUCAGGCAGAAGAGAGAGCUGCUUCAGCGUCCCAGCAGCUCAGUGUGAUUACAGUGCAGAGAAGAAAAGCAGCUUCCAUGAUGAAUCUGGAAAAUAUUUAAACAUAUUCAUAGUUCACUGACAGAACUGUAGAGUUGGGAAAGCUGUUGUACCAAACGUAUUGACAUGGAGAAGCCUGCUGAGAAUGGGGAAGGCUUGUGUCAUUUUGCAUAAGCAUUUUCCAUUCUGUUUUGAGGGUUAUUGGAAAACAGAACAGUGACAGCUUCUUGUAAGUAGAAAACUAUAAUCCUAUAUUUGAGAUUCAGUAGAGAAUAAAGCCAGCUGAGAAGAACUCACUGCCUUCAUCAAUGUCUAUUUUUAAUUCCUUUUUCCCCCUCCUUGGAAGAACAUAAUAUUUUCAAGAGGUUUAAUUAAAUCCCUAGAAUUUGAUAUUUCAGGUUCUAAGAUUUGGAGAUUUAAUGUCUCAUUUUUUACUCUUAAUUCAUUUUUAUAAUUCUUAAGAUUCUAUUUUACUAUGAAUUCAUAAAUGUAAUAAAUUAUGUAUUUUGUAAAAUUA